RNAcentral lists this ribosomal RNA (497 nucleotides) under uncultured bacterium. RNAcentral describes it as "partial 16S ribosomal RNA". It matches the Rfam family "Bacterial small subunit ribosomal RNA", at positions 28 to 507 of the family's 1533-position model. The record is from RNAcentral.
GAUGAACGCUGGCGGCGUGCCUAAUACAUGCAAGUCGAGCGAACAGAUAAGGAGCUUGCUCCUUUGACGUUAGCGGCGGACGGGUGAGUAACACGUGGGUAACCUACCUAUAAGACUGGGAUAACUUCGGGAAACCGGAGCUAAUACCGGAUAACAUUUGGAACCGCAUGGUUCUAAAGUGAAAGAUGGUUUUGCUAUCACUUAUAGAUGGACCCGCGCCGUAUUAGCUAGUUGGUAAGGUAACGGCUUACCAAGGCAACGAUACGUAGCCGACCUGAGAGGGUGAUCGGCCACACUGGAACUGAGACACGGUCCAGACUCCUACGGGAGGCAGCAGUAGGGAAUCUUCCGCGAUGGGCGAAAGCCUGACGGAGCAACGCCGCGUGAGUGAUGAAGGGUUUCGGCUCGUAAAACUCUGUUAUUAGGGAAGAACAAAUGGGUAAGUAACUGUGCACGUCUUGACGGUACCUAAUCAGAAAGCCACGGCUAACUACGUG